GAUAAACGCUGGCGGCGUGCUUUAUGCAUGCAAGUCGAACGGUCUGAUGUUCCAAGCUUGCUUGGGAUGCCAGAUAGUGGCGAACGGGUGAGUAACGCGUAAGUAACCUGCCCCUAAGUAAGGAAUAACUCUGAGAAGUUAGAGCUAAUACCAUAAAGGUGAUGGAGGUAAUGCUUCAUCACUAAAGCUAAAGCUUUAGGGCGCUUAGGGAGGGGCUUGCGUCCGAUUAGCUAGUUGGUAGGGUAAUGGUUUACCAAGGCGAUGAUCGGUAGCUGGUUUGAGAGGACAUCCAGCCACACUGGGACUUAGAUACGGCCCAGACUCCUACGGGAGGCAGCAGCAAGGAAUUUUGUGCAAUGGGCGAAAGCCUGACACAGCGACGCCGCGUGGGGGAUGAAGGCCUUCGGGUUGUAAACCCCUUUUCUCAGGGAAGAAUAAUGACGGUACCUGAGGAAUAAGUCGUGGCUAACUACGUGCCAGCAGCCGCGGUAAUACGUAGGCGGCAAGCGUUAUCUGGAUUUACUGGGCGUAAAGUGGGCGUAGGCGGUUUUUCAAGUCGAUUGUAAAAUCUCCCGGCUUAACUGGGAGGGGCCAGUCGAUACUGUUGGACUAGAGGGCAGCAGGAGGAGGUGGAAUUCCCGGUGGAGUGGUGAAAUGUGUAGAUAUCGGGAGGAACACCAGUGGCGAAAGCGGCCUCUUAGGCUGUUUCUAACGCUGAGGCCCGAAAGCGUGGGUAGCAAACAGGAUCAGAUACCCUGGUAGUCCACGCCGUAAACGAUGGACACUAGGUAUAGGGAGUAUCGACCCUCUCUGUGCCGAAGCUAACGCAUUAAGUGUCCCGCCUGGGGAGACGGCCGCAAGGCU
Molecule: ribosomal RNA, 864 nt
Filed under: uncultured Chloroflexota bacterium
Lineage: Bacteria; Bacillati; Chloroflexota
Description: bacterial SSU rRNA
Rfam family: Bacterial small subunit ribosomal RNA
Source: RNAcentral